Long non-coding RNA from Amaranthus tricolor (Joseph's coat), 432 nucleotides. RefSeq lists it as uncharacterized. NCBI's taxonomy places the organism in Eukaryota, Viridiplantae, Streptophyta, Magnoliopsida, Caryophyllales, Amaranthaceae. The transcript is spliced from 3 exons. The record is from RefSeq and is a predicted model, not a curated record.
GCGGUUUCACGGUUUCGCGGUUCGGAACUUGUCGCAAACGGUUCCGGUUCCGGAUCCGGUUCCAAGCGGUUCGGGACCGGUUCGGUUCCGGGUAACCCGCCCCGUGGCCAUGCCUACAAGUAAUCAUCAAAGGUAUAUAUUACUAAAAAAAGGCAAUGAACAAUUGAUAUUUACUUCAUAAACCCUAGAAAAGAAAACUACAGAGUAAAAACUGCAGGGUUUUCACUUUUAAUGAUGGAUCAUGAAUGUGAAGCAUCCUCAAUAAUCUGGUUGCAUGGCUGGAAAUAAAUUUUGAUUUCAGGCAUGUCUGGUGCAUUUGGCUUCCCUGAUCUCCAAAAUCAAUAUCCUCAGCCACAUAUCGUUUUGAAUACUGGCAAUAAUUACAAUGAAUCUGGUGAACAAAAAUCUGGAGACAUUAUUAUCAACGUCCAC